This 485-nucleotide ribosomal RNA is filed under the name uncultured bacterium. RNAcentral describes it as "bacterial SSU rRNA". It matches the Rfam family "Bacterial small subunit ribosomal RNA", at positions 30 to 507 of the family's 1533-position model. The record is from RNAcentral.
AUUGAACGCUGGCGGCAUGCCUUACACAUGCAAGUCGAACGGUAACAGGGAGCUUGCUCCGCUGACGAGUGGCGAACGGGUGAGUAAUGUAUCGGAACGUACCAUUCAGUGGGGGAUAACGUAGCGAAAGUUACGCUAAUACCGCAUAUUCUGUGAGCAGGAAAGCAGGGGAUCGCAAGACCUUGCGCUGAUUGAGCGGCCGAUAUCAGAUUAGCUAGUUGGUGAGGUAAAGGCUCACCAAGGCGACGAUCUGUAGCGGGUCUGAGAGGAUGAUCCGCCACACUGGAACUGAGACACGGUCCAGACUCCUACGGGAGGCAGCAGUGGGGAAUUUUGGACAAUGGGGGCAACCCUGAUCCAGCCAUGCCGCGUGAGUGAAGAAGGCCUUCGGGUUGUAAAGCUCUUUCGGCCGGGAAAAAAAUCGCAUCAGUUAAUACCUGGUGUGGAUGAUGGUACCGGAAUAAGAAGCACCGGCUAACUACGUG